Molecule: long non-coding RNA, 1621 nt
Organism: Papaver somniferum (opium poppy)
Lineage: Eukaryota; Viridiplantae; Streptophyta; Magnoliopsida; Ranunculales; Papaveraceae
Exons: 8
Source: RefSeq, a predicted model, not a curated record
AAGAAUACCCAUCCUUGGAUGAGAAUAUUCAUCCUUGGGUGAGCGUUUUCGUCCCUUGAAAAUUCUUCAUUCCACUUUUUCUCAAAUCAGACGAAUGUAACAUUGAAUACCAGUUUCGGUUGAAAAAAACGCCACAAAAAAAAUAAUCAGUAACCUGGAUAAAAGACCUAACAGGAUGUUCGUAUGCAUUUCUUCUGCGAUUUUCUUCUACAGCAAACCUGCGUUCUUCCCCCAUGAAAUACCAGGAUUCGUCGAUUAAAGGAAAGAUUGGGUUUUUGAUACAGUGGGUUAACAGAUUCAAUUUAGGGUCUCAGAUUCAAUUUAGGGUCUAGGGUUUCGUCGAUUGGAAUAAAGCUUGGGUAUUUCAUACAAUUUAGGGCAAAGGUACGAUUUUUGUCCAAGAUAAGUCAUGGAGAAACCCUAAUAGCCAUUCAAGAAAAGAUUUCAGUAUUUCACAAUUCAGUUGGUAAUUCAUAUUAAUGAAUCAUGCUUCCAAUGUUCACUACACCAUCAGCACCAUCGUAGCCAGCUCCACCAUCAAAACAAGUUCACCACCAAGCUACACAACCAUUAUCAAUUUACUUCAGUCAAACUUUGGAUGCCAAAAUGAACAUAACAUCUCAUUCUAAGUGAACGAGUAGUUGAAGUAUUUCACAACGCUACCCUGCUUGCAUCACUUAUCCAUCAAUCCUGUAGAUAUGUCAAACAUUUAGUAGAAGAAUAUGCCAAAUGUGUUCUUUAUACUGUGGCUUUUUGAAGGCUCACUUGGGAAGAUGGGGAUAGCUGCAGAUAUGAUGGGAAUGUGACUUAAGCUUACGAUGGGACUUUAGGUAUGGGAGAUGGAUAAUUUGAGUUUUGAAGUAAACCAAAACGGUAGUGUGUUGGAGGCAGGACAUUGAUGAUGAUUACUCAGUUCAGAGACAUGAUAUUAAGGGGUGGGGGGUAACUAUAUGUUUUGCAAGUUUUGCCGGAUCGAGGAGGAAUCAUAGGGAUAGGAGAAGGUGGACGAGAUCGAGUUGGUCUGUUACACACUCUAGCAACACUGCUUGAGUCCACGGGAAGUGUUCUCAUUCAUGCACUGCUAGGAGUGAAAAUCUUACCUCUUGAAGACCAAAAGUAAGCGGUCCUGUCGGGGGUUAUCCAAAAUCGAAAGAUUACAGACUGAUUCUUGCAGUGGCAACAUUUUUUCCCCUUUCGAUCGAAAACAGUAAUGGUGAAAGCGAAGGUGACAAGGGUGAUGACGAUGAAUAAAUAUACUUACUCAAGAUACGGUGAUCUGGAUGAAUAAAGGCGGAGAUUGGACACCACAUGGCGUUUCCUAUAGGAUGUUAACUAUUUUAUACUUACUCUGACAGUAGAUUUUGGUUGUCUGUAUAUCCAAUAAUCCCAAGUACCCAAGAGAAUGUUGAAACAAACGUCUUCUGAUGAUUACAUGAACAUAGUUCAAAUGAUGCCUUCUUUUAUGUUGAAAAAUAUGGUCUAUCCCUUGGAUUAAAGGGAUCAAACUAAAUUGGUUACAUUAACGGUGCUUUGUAGUUCAUUUUUUCAAAUCUUAGUGAUCUGGAUGACAUCAUUUUGAAUAUUUCUGGUGGCUUAGAUUAUUAUUAUCAAUUUCCACUUA